GCCCUGGUAGUGUAGCUGGAUAUCACGUAGGACUGCGGAUCCUAUUACCCGGGUUCAAGUCCCGGCCAGGGCA
Molecule: transfer RNA, 73 nt
Filed under: Methanobrevibacter sp.
Lineage: Archaea; Methanobacteriati; Methanobacteriota; Methanobacteria; Methanobacteriales; Methanobacteriaceae
Description: tRNA-Arg
Rfam family: tRNA
About the family: Transfer RNA (tRNA) molecules are approximately 80 nucleotides in length. Their secondary structure includes four short double-helical elements and three loops (D, anti-codon, and T loops).
Source: RNAcentral